Molecule: long non-coding RNA, 4804 nt
Filed under: Capra hircus (goat)
Lineage: Eukaryota; Metazoa; Chordata; Mammalia; Artiodactyla; Bovidae
Description: lncRNA (ENSCHIG00010020363.1)
Source: RNAcentral
AUGCUUGCCCUCCCCCCGCAAGCCAGCUUUCCAGGUUCAUCCCCGCAAAUGGCCUGUUCACAUGUCCCCUGGCAUGACUUCUGUCUUCUUGGGACCCCUGACCCUCUCCACUUCUACUUGUCAUUCAGUAAUAAGGCCCUAAUCCGAUGUCACCUGUCUGGGAGGACUUCCCUGAUGAAGCCAAGAAGUGAAGUACUUUCUCCAGUCACUGCAUGUAUUCUGAGAUGCAUUCGUACUGCACACACAAGCCUGUGUGUGUCUCACACACUCAUAUACAUGGCACGCAUGUGGCUGAUAACCCCUAGGAAUCCUUGUGUGCACCUGCUGUCGAUAAGCCUUGGCUUUGCUCCAGGGCCUGUGCUAAGCGACCAGCCAGAUUCUCUCUUGGUCUCAUCACAGCCCUGUAGCAAAGUAGCUCUAGCAAAGCAUCAAAUAUGAGGAUAUUAUAACUAAUCACAUCUCUGUAUUACAGAUGAGAUCAAAGAGGUUAGGUGAGUUGCAUAAAUAAGGUCACACAACCAGUAAGCGCCAGAGCCAAGGUUCAAAGCCAAUUUUGACCUAAUCCCAUGUAUGUAACACUGCACUGCCAUUCACCAGGCAAGAAUUGCUCUUCAAAGAGUCAUGUACCUCAGCUUCCUUGUACAGUGCUUUGCAGGCAGUAUGCAUUCACAGUUGUAUCCCAGUACCUAACACAGAGUCCAGAACGUCUCCUGCAUGCGCAGCAGGUACCUGUGACUGAAUGAAUGGAGCUAUUGCCAGGCACUCCAACAAACCAUCUAAAGGAAAACAGCCAACACCGGGGCCUGAGAGUGUAUUAACAAAAGUUCCAGCGAUUCCUAUGCAGCCAGGCAGCACCUGUCCGCAGACUGCUGUCCAGCAAAAGGGUCACUGAGGCAGACGGUUGUUAACUGGCUAUCCCAAGGUUAGCAGCCUACCUCCUACCCCUGAGCCAACUUUUGUAGUCAGCUCCUCUUGGUGUCCGCCUGGCUAUAAGAUAAGAAACUAACACUGGGCAGAAAGCAAGACCUUGUCUCCAUCUGUCCUGUCUAAGGAGACCUUAAAUUGGUUUUCCUGACUCUUUCCUCUGAGGAGGUCCUUACCAGGGCCUCAUCUCAGAUAAGCUGAAUAGGGGACAGCCUCCAAGCAGCUGACCUAGAAACUCCAAACUGCAGCAAACCAAGUCUUUGACCUGGAAGGGCCUUGUUAUUGGGUUUUGCUUAACGCAGAUCCAUCAUCUUCAGAACCUCCUUCUUGCCUCUUUGGAGAGGAGCCAUGUUGCCUGGCAACCAGUGUGUCAGUGAUGUAACAAAGUUGUUGAUCAAUAAAGAUUGGGUCUCAUAACCUCUCUCUGAAGUAUGUUUGAUCUCUCUGGUUCUCAAAGCCACUGCUGAUGUCUUAGCAGCUGGGGUGAUGCAUUCAAAAGAAAAUAAGAUUCAGAGUUAGACAUACCUAAAUCAGUGUCCCAAUCCAGCCACAUACUGGCUGUGUGACCUUGACAAAUCACUUGCCCUCUCUGAUUCUGUUUCCUCAAACCAAUGGUGAGAAGACUUUAGUGGGAAAUCUCAGGUCCUUCCAGUUCUGACAUCUAUGAUCUGUGUUUCAUGACCUGGGGCAUGAGCUCCUCCCAUGAUCCAAGUCUAGUGUGAUGAAGGGACUCAGUUCUGCUUCGUGUUGGUCAUCCUGCAUUAUCAUUCUGGACAACUGAGGCAUGAAAAUAAAUCAGAAGCAGUGAGAAGUUAGGAUACAUUGUCCUUCCAUAAAUACCGCCCUCUUCCCAACCCCCAGUCUUGCCUUGAUAAUAAAAUCCCCUUUCCUACAGACAGACAGCACGACUCUCUGGGAAAUCCUCAAGAAAUGUCGUCCAUAUGUUUUUGAGUCAUUUACACUGAACCCAUCAUAAUAUUGUUCUUUGAAGAUCCAUUUACAUUUGUUCUAAAGGCUUAUUUUAAAGCUUAUGCAAAUGAAAUAGAUUAAGGUUGCAUUCUGGAAGCUGAGGCUGGAANNNNNNNNNNNNNNNNNNNNNNNNNNNNNNNNNNNNNNNNNNNNNNNNNNNNNNNNNNNNNNNNNNNNNNNNNNNNNNNNNNNNNNNNNNNNNNNNNNNAAUGGGAAGUUCAUUUUAAAGCUCGGUGUAAAUAGAGUUUCACAUGUGUUCUAAAUAGUUCUUCCUUCUUAGCCCAAGUGGCCUCCGUUCAACCCUCCAGUAACCUCAGACCGAGAGAGAAGUUCUCUGGGUGGGAAAUGCUAAUUGGUGGCAGUUAGGAGUAAUGGAAAGAGCCAGGGAAUGGGAACCUAAUUCUCCCCCUCUUAACUAGCCUUAUGGCAUUGAAUGAGUUCCCCAAUCUUCCUAGGUUUCAGUUUCUUCAUUUGGGUCCCACACAAGAUCUCUGUGGCUCCCUCACGUCAGCAUCAUAAGAACAGAUUUCGAGGAGCAGCUUUUGGACUUGUCACCCUGAUCUACUGAUUUAUAGUCUCCAAGAGUGAAGCGCGAGAAUCUGGAUUUUUUUUCCUGUGCCCCCCAAGUAAUUCUGAUGUGUGCCCAGGUGUGAGACGCAGUGGUCUAGGUAAUCCGUAAAGAUCUUCCGUCUCCACCUACAAGGUUCUGCAAUUUGUUUCUGAAGUCUCUCUUUUCCACGUGUAUGUCCCUACCUGCCUCCUACACUCUUGUAUGUGCUAAAAAUGUUCGUUCUUCAUAUGGCCCACAGUGUGGACACUAGGGAAUUUUGUUGGAAGAACCCUGAUGCUCUUGUUGAAGGCUGCUUGGAUGUAAGAAACUAUCAUUUGUCAUCCCAACACACUCUGACGGAGAGGCUGAAAUGUGGAGCUCAAUAUCCAGUGGCAUUACAGAGCCCCUAAGAGUCUGCCCCACAGAAUCGAGCAGGCCCACUGGUGAGCAAAUACAUCAGUCAAAUGACCUGUAUAUUGAUACCCAUCUACCUAUGCAGGUGGUGAGUAAGUGGCAUCAUGGGAAUCUGCCUUAGGAUGUGGACUUGUGCUCCAACGCACUGGUGAAAGUGGAGAUGGGGGAGAAGAGUCCUGGGCUUGGCGAAGGACACCUUGUCUCUGACCUGAGUUGCCUCUUCCGACUGUUGAGAACAGAGAGUUGACUCGUGUUACAUAACGCCUGAGAUGGCUUUCCGCUCAGUGCCUGCAGAAAACAGCUCCUCAUGAUGCAACCUUCUCCCUGGCCUGCCACAGUCCCUCUUCUCAUGUAGCCCCAAAGUCAGCGCUGUCUGAUGUCACUUCUGAGGGCCUUGUCACUUGUUAUACCAGGACUCUCGGGGAACAAGGUGUACCUUCUGCUCAGUGAGUCUGGCUUUCUCCACGCAGCGUAGCCUCNNNNACGCAGCGUAGCCUCGUUUUGAUGUCAGUCUGGCAAGGGUUACCUUCUCUGCUCCCAACGAGGAAAGGAUAUACCUGAGCUCAGAGAGGCAGAAUUAAGGGUCUGUCUAACUUGGCGGCUUCCCUGGUGGUCCAGUGAUUCUGAAUCCACCUGCCGGCGCAGGAGUCACGGGUUCAAUCUCUGGUCGGGGAAGAUCCUACAUGCCACAGAUCAGCUAAACCCGCGUGCACCGCAGCUACAGAGCCUGUGCCCUAGAGCCCGUGAGCCGCAACGGCUGAGCCCGCCUGCUGCAACUGCUGAGCCCGCUCACCUAGAGCCUGUGCUCCACAAUGAGAGAAGCCACGGCAGUGAGAAGCCCGAGCACUGGAGGUAGAGAGUAGCCCCCACUCUCCAAAACAAGAGAAAAGGCUGCACGCAGCAACACUCAGCACAGCCAAAAAUAACUAAAUAAGGAAAAUUAAAGAGAACUGGUCCCCAUGGCCAUCUCAAAAAAAAAAAAUUUUGUCUAACGUUGUCUUUCAGUCCUUUUUUGUGCGCCCACCCCUCCCCACCUCUCCAUCAAAGCACCCAGUACCCCCUAGCUGGUAGCUGGCUGCUACAAUCUUAAAGUCUUGAGCUACAGGAUUAUUGUUUGAUUAGUCUUGUCUCCCAAGAUAGAAGACGAUGCUGGGAGAGAGCCGUGCUUUACCCAUAGGGAUAAACUGCAAAUAUAAGCAACGUGAUUCCAGGCAGAAGAGAUCUGUGAGUGAGGGGCUUUCAUGUGACCAUCCCCCAAGUCAGAGCAUGUUUGUGACUACUGAAGGCCUGGAAUAUCCAGACAGACUUUUCUCCAGACGACUUCCAGAUGACUGCAGCACCUACCAUCUCCACUGAACUUAGCAAUAGAACAGUUUUGUUUCUUUCAAUCCUAUUUAUAAAACCAUUUUUUACACCGCUGCUUCAAUUCAGCCCCAUCUGCAGUUCCUUCCAUUAAUCACAGUAGAACUCCCCACUGUAGCUUUCAUUACCUGCUCGAAAUGAAUGUGGAGAGAAAACAUAAUUAGAUGCCACUUUUAAAAAAUAAUAUCUCAAAAAUAGAGCAAUGACUUAAAUAAGAAAGAAGGGGGAAAAAAACACCACUUGAACUAAUGGGCCAAAUUACCUCAGGUUAAGCUGGAUUUUAAAUCAGGUUUUUCUUUCUUUCUUUCUCUUUCUGCGCCCCGCCCCCCCUCUACCCCUCCAGUGAAUCAUGACCGCUUUAGAGUUCAGCUGGAUGGGUGAUUAGAUUUGCUCGUCUCAGCUGAAACAAUGAAAUAUUUCUAUAAUAUUAAACGUGUCAAACUGAUCAAAGUGCAGUGUCAAAAUUCUAAGUGCUCCUUCUUGUCCAAUCCCCUCCGCUCUGGCGAAAUGCAGCAUUUUAUUUGCUGCCCCUAAAUUCCCUGAGGUUCUUGAAACCUGAGCCAUGCUGCCUGAUUGGCAGGGGUU